GAUGAACGCUAGCGGGAGGCCUAACACAUGCCAGCCGAGCGGUAUUUGUUCUUCGGAACAGAGAGAGCGGCGCACGGGUGCGGAACACGUGUGCAACCUGCCUUUAUCUGGGGGAUAGCCUUUCGAAAGGAAGAUUAAUACCCCAUAAUAUAUUGAGUGGCAUCAUUUGAUAUUGAAAACUCCGGUGGAUAGAGAUGGGCACGCGCAAGAUUAGAUAGUUGGUGAGGUAACGGCUCACCAAGUCAAUGAUCUUUAGGGGGCCUGAGAGGGUGAUCCCCCACACUGGUACUGAGACACGGACCAGACUCCUACGGGAGGCAGCAGUGAGGAAGAUUGGACAAUGGGUUAGCGCCUGAUCCAGCCAUCCCGCGUGAAGGACGACGGCCCUAUGGGUUGUAAACUUCUUUUGUAUAGGGAUAAACCUACUCUCGUGAGAGUAGCUGAAGGUACUAUACGAAUAAGCACCGGCUAACUCCGUG
RNAcentral lists this ribosomal RNA (479 nucleotides) under uncultured bacterium. RNAcentral describes it as "partial 16S ribosomal RNA". It matches the Rfam family "Bacterial small subunit ribosomal RNA", at positions 28 to 507 of the family's 1533-position model. The record is from RNAcentral.